RNAcentral lists this ribosomal RNA (500 nucleotides) under Bactrocera antigone. RNAcentral describes it as "partial large subunit ribosomal RNA". The record is from RNAcentral. Lineage: Eukaryota; Metazoa; Arthropoda; Insecta; Diptera; Tephritidae.
CCUGUUUUACAAAAACAUGUCUUUUUGAGUUAUUUUUAAAGUCUGACCUGCCCACUGAAAUUAUUUAAAUGGCCGCAGUAUUUUAACUGUGCAAAGGUAGCAUAAUCAUUAGUCUUUUAAUUGAAGGCUGGUAUGAACGGUUGGACGAGGUAUAAGCUGUUUCAUGUAAAUUUAUGAUAGAAUUUUAUAUUUUAGUUAAAAAGCUAAAAUUUGAUUAAAAGACGAGAAGACCCUAUAAAUCUUUAUAUUUUGAAUUAUUUAAAUUUUUUUUUAUUUUAUUUUUAUAGUUUAAUGUAUUUUGUUGGGGUGAUAUUAAAAUUUAAUUAACUUUUAAUUGUUUAAAAUCAUUAAUUUAUGAAUUAUUGAUCCGUUAGUAGUGAUUAUAAGUUUAAGUUACUUUAGGGAUAACAGCGUAAUUUUUUUGGAGAGUUCUUAUCGAUAAAAAAGUUUGCGACCUCGAUGUUGGAUUAAGAUGUAUUUUUAGGUGUAGCUGCUUAAAU